AUUGAACGCUGGCGGCAGGCCUAACACAUGCAAGUCGAACGGCAGCACAGAAGAGCUUGCUCUUUGGGUGGCGAGUGGCGGACGGGUGAGUAAUGUCUGGGAAACUGCCCGAUGGAGGGGGAUAACUACUGGAAACGGUAGCUAAUACCGCAUAACGUCGCAAGACCAAAGUGGGGGACCUUCGGGCCUCACACCAUCGGAUGUGCCCAGAUGGGAUUAGCUAGUAGGUGGGGUAAUGGCUCACCUAGGCGACGAUCCCUAGCUGGUCUGAGAGGAUGACCAGCCAAACUGGAACUGAGUCACGGUCCAGACUCCUACGGGAGGCAGCAGUGGGGAAUAUUGCACAAUGGGCGCAAGCCUGAUGCAGCCAUGCCGCGUGUAUGAAGAAGGCCUUCGGGUUGUAAAGUACUUUCAGCGGGGAGGAAGGCGGUGAGGUUAAUAACCUUGCCGAUUGACGUUACCCGCAGAAGAAGCACCGGCUAACUCCGUGCCAGCCGCCGCGGUAA
Molecule: ribosomal RNA, 506 nt
Filed under: uncultured bacterium
Lineage: Bacteria
Description: partial 16S ribosomal RNA
Rfam family: Bacterial small subunit ribosomal RNA
Source: RNAcentral